Molecule: ribozyme, 104 nt
Filed under: Aedes aegypti (yellow fever mosquito)
Lineage: Eukaryota; Metazoa; Arthropoda; Insecta; Diptera; Culicidae
Description: drz-agam-1 ribozyme
Rfam family: drz-agam-1 ribozyme
Source: Rfam by way of RNAcentral
UGUCCAGUAACUCCUAUCCCUACCUCCUCGUGGUGCCACCUGGGGUACGAGUAACCGUAGGGAAGAUCGGGUAAUCAAUCUUGGUCGUAUGCUGACAGGGAAGG